Molecule: small nucleolar RNA, 79 nt
Filed under: Operophtera brumata (winter moth)
Lineage: Eukaryota; Metazoa; Arthropoda; Insecta; Lepidoptera; Geometridae
Description: Small nucleolar RNA U43
Rfam family: Small nucleolar RNA U43
Source: Rfam by way of RNAcentral
AUGAUGAUACAAACUCUAAAAUAUUUAUACGGUUAGAACCUGAGUUCUUGUGAAGAUUUUUCUAGGGCGGACUGAUAAA